CAUCGGUUCUCACUGCUAUUGUUCUUUCUACUUCUCUUUAGUUUUUUUUUUCUUUUCAAUUGGAUCUUAACAUCAGUUAGCUAGGCGCACAAAGGAAUUUUGAAAAAUAAGGUGUAUCAAUGCCAAUAGAUGGAAAAAAUGUCUAAACUCUUCAAGUUGUAUUUCUCGGUGAUGGAUUGCACUAAAUGGUGUAGUACGAACUGAUUUCUCUGUUAGUUGAGACUGCUAUAUUACAAUGGGCCAUCUACUAAUUGAAAAGUGUGUAAUUACAUGAAGCAGGCGAGAGCAACAUGGUAAAAAGAAAAUUCAAAGAGAAGCUUGAACUACGUUACUACUCCAAAAAAACACUUUUAAAAAAAAGGAUAUUCAAAAGUUUUUUGGGUUGAUCAGGGUGACUUGAACUGGAUUCAUUUAUGCUAAUAUUAUACGUAGCUAAGGACGAAAAGAAAAUUGUUCGCACUAACAGCAGCCCAGGUCAACUAUUUGAAUUGAAACAAUCGGGAACUUUGUAUAGUCAUAUAUAUAAGUACUAACUUUUAAUCUUAGUAUUCUUCAAUAUACCUUCAUAUUAUGUAUAUGUAUAUAUGUACAAGAAAUAUGCUAGAAUUUCUAAUAUAAUAGAGAUACCAAAUUUGGUGUUGUUGGGCCCGUGCUUUAGCACGGGUAUGCGUGACUAGUGUCUUAAUAGCUUGUGCCGGAAUGAAAAGUUGUUAUCUUGGGGAGUUGGUACAUGGUCAAAUCUUGAAAUUGGGGUUCUUGAUUAUUAUUUUUGUGGGUAAUACUUUAAUAGCUGUGUACACUGCUAUUGACAAUAUGGAAGCUGCAAGAUUAGUUUUUUAUGA
Long non-coding RNA from Nicotiana tabacum (common tobacco), 842 nucleotides. RefSeq lists it as uncharacterized. The record is from RefSeq and is a predicted model, not a curated record. NCBI's taxonomy places the organism in Eukaryota, Viridiplantae, Streptophyta, Magnoliopsida, Solanales, Solanaceae.